RNAcentral lists this ribosomal RNA (468 nucleotides) under uncultured bacterium. RNAcentral's name for it is "partial 16S ribosomal RNA". It matches the Rfam family "Bacterial small subunit ribosomal RNA", at positions 28 to 507 of the family's 1533-position model. The record is from RNAcentral.
GACGAACGCUGGCGGCGUGCUUAACACAUGCAAGUCGAACGGAAAGGCCCUGCUUUUGUGGGGUGCUCGAGUGGCGAACGGGUGAGUAACACGUGAGUAACCUGCCCUUGACUUUGGGAUAACUUCAGGAAACUGGGGCUAAUACCGGAUAGGAGCUCCUGCUGCACGGUGGGGGUUGGAAAGUUUCGGCGGUUGGGGAUGGACGCGCGGCCUAUCAGCUUGUUGGCGGGGUAGUGGAUUACCAAGGCUUUGACGGGUAGCCGGCCUGGGAGGGUGACCGGCCACAUUGGGACUGAGAUACGAGCCAGACUGCUACGGGAGGCAGCAGUGGGGGAUAGUGCACGAUGGGCGGAAGCCUGAUGCAGCAACGCCGCGUGCGGGAUGACGGCCUUCGGGUUGUAAACCGCGUUCGCCUGUGACGAAGCGUGAGUGACGGUAAUGGGUAAAGAAGCACCGGCUAACUACGUG